GGUUUGUGGCUCAGUGGUAGAGUGCUUGCCUAGCAUGCAUGAGGCACUGGGUUCAAUCCCCAGCACCA
This 68-nucleotide transfer RNA is filed under the name Marmota monax (woodchuck). RNAcentral's name for it is "tRNA.Ala". The stretch from base 5 to 65 matches the Rfam family "tRNA", at positions 6 to 65 of the family's 71-position model. Rfam says of the family: Transfer RNA (tRNA) molecules are approximately 80 nucleotides in length. Their secondary structure includes four short double-helical elements and three loops (D, anti-codon, and T loops). Further hydrogen bonds mediate the characteristic L-shaped molecular structure. tRNAs have two regions of fundamental functional importance: the anti-codon, which is responsible for specific mRNA codon recognition, and the 3' end, to which the tRNAs corresponding amino acid is attached (by aminoacyl-tRNA synthetases). tRNAs cope with the degeneracy of the genetic code in two manners: having more than one tRNA (with a specific anti-codon) for a particular amino acid; and 'wobble' base-pairing, i.e. permitting non-standard base-pairing at the 3rd anti-codon position. Lineage: Eukaryota; Metazoa; Chordata; Mammalia; Rodentia; Sciuridae. The record is from RNAcentral.